UGGGGUAUGAGUUUUGGCAGAAGGUGGACUAGCUGAAGAAGAAGAAGAAGGUUUUAGAUUUUCAUUUGACACAUUUUUAUCCUCUUCUUCACCUUCCUUAUUGUUGUCCUCCCCAAUCUUAUUGUCUACUACAUGUCCACUCCUUAGGGUAGUCAAAGCAUUGGCUUGUUCAUGAUGAAUUGCAUUUAAUUGAUUUUCUUGAGCCAUGUAUUGUCCCCUAGGAUUACUUAGUGGUUGGCUUGGAAGCUUUCCUUCCUCUCGCUU
This 264-nucleotide long non-coding RNA is filed under the name Phoenix dactylifera (date palm). RNAcentral's name for it is "long non-coding RNA (PDAC_LNC009315)". The record is from RNAcentral. Lineage: Eukaryota; Viridiplantae; Streptophyta; Magnoliopsida; Arecales; Arecaceae.